CGAGCGGCGGACGGGUGAGUAAUGCCUAGGAAAUUGCCCUGAUGUGGGGGAUAACCAUUGGAAACGAUGGCUAAUACCGCAUAAUGCCUACGGGCCAAAGAGGGGGACCUUCGGGCCUCUCGCGUCAGGAUAUGCCUAGGUGGGAUUAGCUAGUUGGUGAGGUAAGGGCUCACCAAGGCGACGAUCCCUAGCUGGUCUGAGAGGAUGAUCAGCCACACUGGAACUGAGACACGGUCCAGACUCCUACGGGAGGCAGCAGUGGGGAAUAUUGCACAAUGGGCGCAAGCCUGAUGCAGCCAUGCCGCGUGUGUGAAGAAGGCCUUCGGGUUGUAAAGCACUUUCAGUCGUGAGGAAGGUAGUGUAGUUAAUAGCUGCAUUAUUUGACGUUAGCGACAGAAGAAGCACCGGCUAACUCCGUGCCAGCAGCCGCGGUAAUACGGAGGGUGCGAGCGUUAAUCGGAAUUACUGGGCGUAAAGCGCAUGCAGGUGGUUUGUUAAGUCAGAUGUGAAAGCCCGGGGCUCAACCUCGGAAUUGCAUUUGAAACUGGCAGACUAGAGUACUGUAGAGGGGGGUAGAAUUUCAGGUGUAGCGGUGAAAUGCGUAGAGAUCUGAAGGAAUACCGGUGGCGAAGGCGGCCCCCUGGACAGAUACUGACACUCAGAUGCGAAAGCGUGGGGAGCAAACAGGAUUAGAUACCCUGGUAGUCCACGCCGUAAACGAUGUCUACUUGGAGGUUGUGGCCUUGAGCCGUGGCUUUCGGAGCUAACGCGUUAAGUAGACCGCCUGGGGAGUACGGUCGCAAGAUUAAAACUCAAAUGAAUUGACGGGGGCCCGCACAAGCGGUGGAGCAUGUGGUUUAAUUCGAUGCAACGCGAAGAACCUUACCUACUCUUGACAUCCAGAGAACUUUCCAGAGAUGGAUUGGUGCCUUCGGGAACUCUGAGACAGGUGCUGCAUGGCUGUCGUCAGCUCGUGUUGUGAAAUGUUGGGUUAAGUCCCGCAACGAGCGCAACCCUUAUCCUUGUUUGCCAGCGAGUAAUGUCGGGAACUCCAGGGAGACUGCCGGUGAU
RNAcentral lists this ribosomal RNA (1071 nucleotides) under Vibrio campbellii. RNAcentral's name for it is "bacterial SSU rRNA". It matches the Rfam family "Bacterial small subunit ribosomal RNA", at positions 92 to 1159 of the family's 1533-position model. Lineage: Bacteria; Pseudomonadati; Pseudomonadota; Gammaproteobacteria; Vibrionales; Vibrionaceae. The record is from RNAcentral.